CAUCCAAGAGGAGGAGUAUUCAAACAUUCCGAUCAAUAACGGGUACCCACUGCGCAUCAAUAUUCAGGGUUCAGGCGCACCGACCAUUCAUUCUGAUCACCCCAGUCGUCUUCGAUAAUCAGUUUCGAGAAGCAUUGACUCAAGCAUCAGUGUGGCGGGGUGGGGUGAGUUCGUUUUACAAAUGGAGCUGAGAAUAAGCUUGAAACAAAAGGGACAAAAAAGAAAAGGCAUAUUACAUCCUGCGUAUUAUUUCUGGAAAUAAAAUAGCUCAGAGGAGCUGCAUAGAUUUUUGAUCGGUCUCCAUAGAGCGAGAGGCAAACACCACAACAAAAAUGUAUACAGAUUUUUGAUUCCCACUCCUAUGUCCUAUGCAUGUACACCGUCCAAUAUCCCACUUGCACCUUCACGAAUGAGGCCGACAGGGCAGACCAUAGAUUGUGGAGAGAGAAAAAGGCCUGUCAUGCAAAGCAGGGAAUCCGAAGCCGCUCGUCAAUCCUCGCCCUGUACUUGCACCUGAAGCUUUUCUAUCUGUGUCCCGCUGCCACUCCAGCUCUUGCUGCAGUUGCACCCAUCUGUUGUUCAACCGUAUGGGUUUCUCCGCACACUCGUAAUGGCUAUUGUUGCUUUAUCUGCGUCA
This 637-nucleotide small RNA is filed under the name Histoplasma capsulatum var. duboisii H88. RNAcentral describes it as "Histoplasma capsulatum H88 hypothetical RNA". Lineage: Eukaryota; Fungi; Ascomycota; Eurotiomycetes; Onygenales; Ajellomycetaceae. The record is from RNAcentral.